UAAUCUCAAUUUGUAAAUGUGAGCGAUUUGAGCCAUUUGACGGACUCACUUUGCAACUGGAGAUUGCU
RNAcentral lists this microRNA precursor (68 nucleotides) under Drosophila ananassae. Its description in RNAcentral is "Dan-Mir-216-P2_pre stem-loop". Lineage: Eukaryota; Metazoa; Arthropoda; Insecta; Diptera; Drosophilidae. The record is from RNAcentral.